This 460-nucleotide ribosomal RNA is filed under the name uncultured bacterium. Its description in RNAcentral is "partial 16S ribosomal RNA". It matches the Rfam family "Bacterial small subunit ribosomal RNA", at positions 338 to 795 of the family's 1533-position model. The record is from RNAcentral.
CCUACGGGAGGCAGCAGUGAGGAAUAUUGGUCAAUGGGCGCGAGCCUGAACCAGCCAAGUAGCGUGAAGGAUGACUGCCCUACGGGUUGUAAACUUCUUUUAUAAAGGAAUAAAGUGAGGCACGUGUGCCUUUUUGUAUGUACUUUAUGAAUAAGGAUCGGCUAACUCCGUGCCAGCAGCCGCGGUAAUACGGAGGUUCCGAGCGUUACCCGGAUUUAUUGGGUUUAAAGGGAGCGUAGAUGGGUUGUUAAGUCAGUUGUGAAAGUUUGCGGCUCAACCGUAAAAUUGCAAUUGAUACUGGCAGUCUUGAGUACAGUUGAGGUAGGCGGAAUUCGUGGUGUAGCGGUGAAAUGCUUAGAUAUCGAGAGGAACACUGGUGGCGAAGGCAGGUUCCUGGACAUUAACUGACGCUGAGGCACGAAGGCGAGGGGAGCGAAAGGGAUUAGAUACCCCAGUAGUC